This 66-nucleotide transfer RNA is filed under the name bovine gut metagenome. It matches the Rfam family "tRNA". From Rfam's summary of the family: Transfer RNA (tRNA) molecules are approximately 80 nucleotides in length. The record is from RNAcentral.
UGGUGUGGCUCAAUGGCAGAGCAGUUGAUUUGUAAUCAUCAGGUUGUAGGUUCGACUCCUAUCACC